Molecule: ribosomal RNA, 503 nt
Filed under: uncultured bacterium
Lineage: Bacteria
Description: partial 16S ribosomal RNA
Rfam family: Bacterial small subunit ribosomal RNA
Source: RNAcentral
AUUGAACGCUGGCGGCAGGCUUAACACAUGCAAGUCGAGCGGGGUGAUGGUGCUUGCACUAUCACUUAGCGGCGGACGGGUGAGUAAUGCUUAGGAAUCUGCCUAUUAGUGGGGGACAACAUCUCGAAAGGGAUGCUAAUACCGCAUACGUCCUACGGGAGAAAGCAGGGGAUCACUUGUGACCUUGCGCUAAUAGAUGAGCCUAAGUCGGAUUAGCUAGUUGGUGGGGUAAAGGCCUACCAAGGCGACGAUCUGUAGCGGGUCUGAGAGGAUGAUCCGCCACACUGGGACUGAGACACGGCCCAGACUCCUACUGGAGGCAGCAGUGGGGAAUAUUGGACAAUGGGGGGAACCCUGAUCCAGCCAUGCCGCGUGUGUGAAGAAGGCCUUAUGAUUGUAAAGCACUUUAAGCGAGGAGGAGGCUCUUUUGGUUAAUACCCAAGAUGAGUGGACGUUACUCGCAGAAUAAGCACCGGCUAGCUCUGUGCCAGCCGCCGCCGUAA